GCUAAUGUGGCGGAGUUUAACGCGAGAGGUCUAAGAUUUCUUUACGUAUAAUUAAGAUUAUACCAUUAGUU
RNAcentral lists this transfer RNA (71 nucleotides) under Herdmania momus (red throated ascidian). RNAcentral describes it as "transfer RNA-Leu (UAA)". The record is from RNAcentral. Lineage: Eukaryota; Metazoa; Chordata; Ascidiacea; Stolidobranchia; Pyuridae.